ACGGAAGGCAGCAGUGGGGAGUAUUAGGCAAUGGGGGCAACCCUGACCUAGCAACGCCGCGUGAAGGAAGAAGGCCUUCGGGUUGUAAACUUCUUUUAUAGGGGACGAAACGAAUGACGGUACCCUAUGAAUAAGCCACGGCUAACUACGUGCCAGCAGCCGCGGUAAUACGUAGGCGGCAAGCGUUGUCCGGAUUUACUGGGUGUAAAGGGCGCGUAGGCGGGAUGGCAAGUCAGAUGUGAAAUCCAUGGGCCCAACCCAUGAACUGCAUUUGAAACUGUUAUUCUUGAGUAUCGGAGAGGCAAGCGGAAUUCCUAGUGUAGCGGUGAAAUGCGUAGAUAUUAGGAGGAACACCAGUGGCGAAGGCGGCUUGCUGGACGAAAACUGACGCUGAGGCGCGAAAGCGUGGGGAGCAAACAGGAUUAGAUUCCCUGGUA
This 437-nucleotide ribosomal RNA is filed under the name uncultured Oscillospiraceae bacterium. Its description in RNAcentral is "bacterial SSU rRNA". It matches the Rfam family "Bacterial small subunit ribosomal RNA", at positions 341 to 792 of the family's 1533-position model. The record is from RNAcentral. Lineage: Bacteria; Bacillati; Bacillota; Clostridia; Eubacteriales; Oscillospiraceae.